AAGUUACCAAUCCAUCAGAAGAAUCAAUCCUAAGACUUGCAAUCUUAUGUAAUUAAUUAUACUAACC
This 67-nucleotide transfer RNA is filed under the name Trichinella nativa. Its description in RNAcentral is "tRNA-Cys". The record is from RNAcentral. Lineage: Eukaryota; Metazoa; Nematoda; Enoplea; Trichinellida; Trichinellidae. RNAcentral also lists the same sequence under 1 other name.